RNAcentral lists this ribosomal RNA (1445 nucleotides) under Mockfordia xanthocaeciliae. RNAcentral's name for it is "partial small subunit ribosomal RNA". It matches the Rfam family "Microsporidia small subunit ribosomal RNA". Lineage: Eukaryota; Fungi; Microsporidia. The record is from RNAcentral.
UCACCAGGUUGAUUCUGCCUGACGUGGAUGCUAGUUCCUGAGAUUAAGSCAUGCAUGUUUAUGAAGCGAUAUCGAUUGCGGAUUGAUAGUACGGCUCASUAAUACUGCGAUGAUUUGGUUGAGGGGAGUGUCUGUAACUACRGGAAACWGUARGUAGUGGGCUUGUAKGGUAUUUGCACGUGGCUUUGUGUUAUGUGUGGUAUGUGUCUUGAGUAAGUUGCAGGCCUAUCAACUGGUAGGUAGGGUAAUGGCCUACCUAGGUGGUGACGGGAUACGGGGGAUUAGGGUUUGAUUCCGGAGAGGGAGCCUGAGAGAUGGCUWCUACGUCCAAGGAUGGCAGCAGGCGCGAAACUUGCCUAAUCCAGUAUUGGGAGGCAGUGACGGGACGUGAUUGGAUGGCGUGAUGUAAAGAAGCAUGCUUGUAUCRSAGGGCAAGUCGGGUGCCAGCAGCCGCGGUAAUACCUGCUCCGAUAGUGUCUAUGGUGAAUGCUGCAGUUAAAAAGUCUGUAGUCKGGACCUUUUGGUAUGUCUGUUUGUGCUUAUGUUUGUAGUGAGCUGUGGAUGUACUUAUGGUUGUACGCAGAGGAUGAGGGGUACUGGAUAGUUGGGCGAGAGGUGAAAUGUGAUGACCCUGACUGGACGAACAGAAGCGAAGGCUGUACUCUUGGACUUGUGUGUGGAUCAAGGACGAAGGCUGGAGGAUCGAAAUCGAUUAGAUACCGUUUUAGUUCCAGCAGUAAACGAUGCCGACUGUGUGGUGCGGUAUGCACUGUGCGCGAGAAAUCAGUUAGUAUGUGGGUUUUGGGGAUAGUAUGUUCGCAAGGAUGAAACUUGAAGAGAUUGACGGAAGGACACCACCAGGAGUGGAGUGUGCGGCUUAAUUUGACUCAACGCGGGACAACUUACCAAUGCAGUACUGAGCGUGUGAUUGAGUACAAGAUGCUUAGGGUGGUGGUGCAUGGCCGUUUUAAAUGGAUGGCGUGAGCUGUGGAUUAAUUUCCGUAAGAUGUGAGACCCAUGGACGGCGUCAAGUGUGGCGAGGAAGGGUAGGAAUAGAACAGGUCCGUUAUGCCCUAAGAUGUGUUGGGCUGCACGCKCACUACSAUAUGCCAGUGGGGCAUGUGAGGGAUUGAGGGAUGUGAUUGCCUCAUGAACGUGGAAUUCCUAGUAAGURCGGKUCAUUAAGCCGUGUUGAAUGAGUCCCUGUCCUUUGUACACACCGCCCGUCGCUAUCUAAGAUGAUACUCUGGACGAAGACUGUGAGGUCUGAGUUUGUUGNNUUAGAUAANAUAUNANNCGNANCNAGGUNACCAGNGCCCGANCCUGUGCAACUAGAUAAGGUAUAAGUCGUAACAAGGUAACCANNAUCCAAUGGGGUAACUCAGCGGGACUCCAAUGUUUUGUAAACCGUCAUGUUUGAAGAAUGAGAAAGUCGUAACAAGGUA